AACCUUAUGGACCUGCGGGCGUAUACCUGCGGAGGGAUCAUUACAAGUGACCCCGGUCUAACCACCGGGAUGUUCAUAACCCUUUGUUGUCCGACUCUGUUGCCUCCGGGGCGACCCUGCCUUCGGGCGGGGGCUCCGGGUGGACACUUCAAACUCUUGCGUAACUUUGCAGUCUGAGUAAACUUAAUUAAUGAAUUAAAACUUUUAACAACGGAUCU
Molecule: unclassified non-coding RNA, 218 nt
Filed under: soil metagenome
Description: partial contains 5.8S ribosomal RNA, internal transcribed spacer 2, and large subunit ribosomal RNA
Source: RNAcentral